GAUGAACGCUGGCGGCGUGCUUAACACAUGCAAGUCGAACGGAAAGGCCCAAGCUUGCUUGGGUACUCGAGUGGCGAACGGGUGAGUAACACGUGGGUGAUCUGCCCUGCACUUCGGGAUAAGCCUAGGAAACUGGGUCUAAUACCGGAUAGGACGAUGGUUUGGAUGCCAUUGUGGAAAGUUUUUUCGGUGUGGGAUGAGCUCGCGGCCUAUCAGCUUGUUGGUGGGGUAAUGGCCUACCAAGGCGUCGACGGGUAGCCGGCCUGAGAGGGUGUACGGCCACAUUGGGACUGAGAUACGGCCCAGACUCCUACGGGAGGCAGCAGUGGGGAAUAUUGCACAAUGGGCGCAAGCCUGAUGCAGCGACGCCGCGUGGGGGAUGACGGCCUUCGGGUUGUAAACUCCUUUCGCUAGGGACGAAGCGUUUUUGUGACGGUACCUGGAGAAGAAGCACCGGCUAACUACGUG
Molecule: ribosomal RNA, 468 nt
Filed under: uncultured bacterium
Lineage: Bacteria
Description: partial 16S ribosomal RNA
Rfam family: Bacterial small subunit ribosomal RNA
Source: RNAcentral